RNAcentral lists this non-coding RNA (82 nucleotides) under Pseudomonas sp. URMO17WK12:I11. The record is from RNAcentral. Lineage: Bacteria; Pseudomonadati; Pseudomonadota; Gammaproteobacteria; Pseudomonadales; Pseudomonadaceae.
CGUUAUGGCGGCUGUGCGCGGAAGACCUUAGGGUCUGCCGGGCCGUACCCCGGGUUUCCAACCGCGUACAGCUGCCACCAUU